This 492-nucleotide ribosomal RNA is filed under the name uncultured bacterium. RNAcentral's name for it is "partial 16S ribosomal RNA". It matches the Rfam family "Bacterial small subunit ribosomal RNA", at positions 29 to 507 of the family's 1533-position model. The record is from RNAcentral.
AGUGAACGCUGGCGGUAGGCCUAACACAUGCAAGUCGAACGGCAGCACAGUAAGAGCUUGCUCUUACGGGUGGCGAGUGGCGGACGGGUGAGGAAUACAUCGGAAUCUACUUUUUCGUGGGGGAUAACGUAGGGAAACUUACGCUAAUACCGCAUACGACCUACGGGUGAAAGCAGGGGAUCUUCGGACCUUGCGCGAUUGAAUGAGCCGAUGUCGGAUUAGCUAGUUGGCGGGGUAAAGGCCCACCAAGGCGACGAUCCGUAGCUGGUCUGAGAGGAUGAUCAGCCACACUGGAGCUGAGACACGGUCCAGACUCCUACGGGAGGCAGCAGUGGGGAAUAUUGGACAAUGGGCGCAAGCCUGAUCCAGCCACACCGCGUGGGUGAAGAAGGCCUUCGGGUUGUAAAGCCCUUUUGUUGGGAAAGAAAAGCAGCAGGUUAAUACCCCGCUGUUCUGACGGUACCCAAAGAAUAAGCACCGGCUAACUUCGUG